ACGAACGCUGGCGGCGUGCUUAACACAUGCAAGUCGAACGAAGCAUUUAAGACAGAUUCUUUCGGGAUGAAGACUUAUCUGACUGAGUGGCGGACGGGUGAGUAACGCGUGGGUAACCUACCCUGUACAGGGGGAUAACAGUUAGAAAUGACUGCUAAUACCGCAUAAUGUACUAUAGGGGCAUCCCUUAAGUACCAAAGCUUUAUGUGCUGUGAGAUGGACUCGCGUCCGAUUAGAUAGUUGGUGGGGUAACGGCCUACCAAGUCGACGAUCGGUAGCCGGACUGAGAGGUUGAACGGCCACAUUGGGACUGAGACACGGCCCAGACUCCUACGGGAGGCAGCAGUGGGGGAUAUUGCACAAUGGGCGCAAGCCUGAUGCAGCGACGCCGCGUGUGGGAUGACGGUCUUCGGAUUGUAAACCACUGGCUUUGGGGACGAUAAUGACGGUACCCAAGGAGGAAGCUCCGGCUAACUACGUG
RNAcentral lists this ribosomal RNA (481 nucleotides) under uncultured bacterium. RNAcentral's name for it is "bacterial SSU rRNA". It matches the Rfam family "Bacterial small subunit ribosomal RNA", at positions 29 to 507 of the family's 1533-position model. The record is from RNAcentral.